Long non-coding RNA from Sphaeramia orbicularis (orbiculate cardinalfish), 115 nucleotides. RefSeq lists it as uncharacterized. The transcript is spliced from 3 exons. The record is from RefSeq and is a predicted model, not a curated record. NCBI's taxonomy places the organism in Eukaryota, Metazoa, Chordata, Actinopteri, Kurtiformes, Apogonidae.
AACAUCCAGGAUACUAGUCGUUUUUACAUUGGAUAUCUGCGCGAAACUUUACAGUUAUUUACUAAAUGUCGAAAAAACACAAUUGCGUAAUGUCGGUUUUUCCAUUAAAUCAUAA